This 484-nucleotide long non-coding RNA is filed under the name Setaria italica (foxtail millet). RNAcentral describes it as "long non-coding RNA (SITA_LNC004860)". Lineage: Eukaryota; Viridiplantae; Streptophyta; Magnoliopsida; Poales; Poaceae. The record is from RNAcentral.
CAAUGCUGAACCGGUCUUCGAACAGAAAAUCAUCCUCUUCCGCGUCAUCAGCGAGUGGGUGCUGCCCCUCCUCGUCGAUGCUGGAGCCAUACCGCUGCAUGAAGUCUUCCCUAACCCUCUCUAGGAAGACGAAGGGCACGCUCCGCCCGGUCGCCUCAUCAGCAACCACUAGGAACACUACAUCAAACAGGCAGCAUGUGCACAAUGGUGCCAAAGUCAACUCACGGUUGGACACCACAGCGUAGAGGGCGCAGCAAUUAAAGGAGGUGGGGAAAAGCACGGUACCGAAGCCGCGGUCGACGAGGAAGUUGAAGGUGUGGCCGUCGCAGGAGUAGGUGGAUCUCGUGCUGUUGGGGGGCAGCUUCUGGAGGCACUGGACGGCGACGGUGCUGAAGUUGCCGGAGAAGGCGGUGUGCUCCGCCAGCACAACGGAGCCCUUGGCCACGAAGCUGUAAAUCAGCGCCUGCUUGUUCAUGGCGCCCGG